RNAcentral lists this ribosomal RNA (490 nucleotides) under uncultured bacterium. Its description in RNAcentral is "partial 16S ribosomal RNA". It matches the Rfam family "Bacterial small subunit ribosomal RNA", at positions 30 to 507 of the family's 1533-position model. The record is from RNAcentral.
AUUGAACGCUGGCGGCAGGCCUAACACAUGCAAGUCGAACGGUAACAGGAAGCAGCUUGCUGCUUCGCUGACGAGUGGCGGACGGGUGAGUAAUGUCUGGGAAGCUGCCUGAUGGAGGGGGAUAACUACUGGAAACGGUAGCUAAUACCGCAUAAUGUCGCAAGACCAAAGAGGGGGACCUUCGGGCCUCUUGCCAUCGGCUGUGCCCAGAUGGGAUUAGCUUGUUGGUGGGGUAACGGCUCACCAAGGCGACGAUCCCUAGCUGGUCUGAGAGGAUGACAAGCCACACUGGAACUGAGACACGGUCCAGACUCCUACGGGAGGCAGCAGUGGGGAAUAUUGCACAAUGGGCGCAAGCCUGAUGCAGCCAUGCCGCGUGUAUGAAGAAGGCCUUCGGGUUGUAAAGUACUUUCAGCGGGGAGGAAGGGAGUAAAGUUAAUACCUUGGCUCAUUGACGUUACCCGCAGAAGAAGCACCGGCUAACUCCGUG